Molecule: ribosomal RNA, 253 nt
Filed under: uncultured bacterium
Lineage: Bacteria
Description: partial 16S ribosomal RNA
Rfam family: Bacterial small subunit ribosomal RNA
Source: RNAcentral
UACAGAGGUCCCAAGCGUUGUUCGGAUUCACUGGGCGUAAAGGGUGCGUAGGUGGUUGUUUAAGUCUGUUGUGAAAGCCCCGGGCUCAACCUGGGAAUGGCAAUGGAUACUGGACAGCUAGAGUGCGGUAGAGGGUAGUGGAAUUCCCGGUGUAGCAGUGAAAUGCGUAGAGAUCGGGAGGAACACCAGUGGCGAAGGCGGCUACCUGGACCAGCACUGACACUGAAGCACGAAAGCGUGGGGAGCAAACAGG